GCCUGGUUGGCUCAGUUGGUAGGGCAUGGGACUUUUGAUCUCAGGGUUGUGAGUUUUAGCCCCACACUAGGUA
Molecule: transfer RNA, 73 nt
Filed under: Canis lupus dingo (dingo)
Lineage: Eukaryota; Metazoa; Chordata; Mammalia; Carnivora; Canidae
Rfam family: tRNA
About the family: Transfer RNA (tRNA) molecules are approximately 80 nucleotides in length. Their secondary structure includes four short double-helical elements and three loops (D, anti-codon, and T loops).
Source: Rfam by way of RNAcentral